CACGUAGGGACCAAGCGUUGUUCGGAUUUACUGGGCGUAAAGGGCGCGUAGGCGGCGCGGUAAGUCACUUGUGAAAUCUCUGAGCUUAACUCAGAACGGCCAAGUGAUACUGCAGUGCUAGAGUGUGGAAGGGGCAAUCGGAAUUCUUGGUGUAGCGGUGAAAUGCGUAGAUAUCAAGAGGAACACCUGAGGUGAAGACGGGUUGCUGGGCCAACACUGACGCUGAGGCGCGAAAGCCAGGGGAGCAAACGGG
This 253-nucleotide ribosomal RNA is filed under the name uncultured bacterium. Its description in RNAcentral is "partial 16S ribosomal RNA". It matches the Rfam family "Bacterial small subunit ribosomal RNA", at positions 524 to 776 of the family's 1533-position model. The record is from RNAcentral.